This is a long non-coding RNA of Cyprinus carpio (common carp), 853 nucleotides long. The record is from Ensembl. NCBI's taxonomy places the organism in Eukaryota, Metazoa, Chordata, Actinopteri, Cypriniformes, Cyprinidae.
CGGCCUCUUUGGCAUCAUUCUAUUGAGGCUGCUUUAUUUUCCUCAUGUCUCACAUUUGGGUUGACAAGAUUUGACUUACACCGUGUCUACAACGCCGCGACAGCUUGGGACUGACUGCAAUGGAUGUUAUAUGGCUUGUAAUGAUUGGAAAAACUGUUUGUCCUUCAUGUCAGAAACAACACGAGCACUUGGAGUACAUAUGUACGUCAGAAAUAUGGUAUACGGUUCUAUAUUCUCUUUUGUUGAGUUGUUGACCCCGCGAGAGUGGAAGAGUUCUGGAGAACAUCUGCGCUGUGUGUUGAUGCGUCUUACGAGAAAAUAAGACCAAGGUAACUGCAAUGAAGCAUCAAGAAAGACAUGAGCAUACCAGCCACCCUGAGAAUGAUAAUUCAUGAGAAGACAUUUCUGACACUAACAAAGUGGAUGGUGAGCAAAGGUCUUGGCCACGUUUUGGAGCAGCACCUGGGUUUUGCAGAUGGCUAUGUAUUCUUUGGCUGUGUAGCAGGGCUGACAAGUCGUGAGACGUGCGGUUCCGUGUGCAAGCUUUUAUUACACAGAAACAUGGUCAUAACAGGCAUGGGUCAAACACUGGCAAACAGGUAUGUAGAAGGCAAGACACAAGAAUAAUCCUAGGGCAAGCAUGGGUCUUCGAUGAGCGAACAAUAUCCAGAGGGCUAAACGAGAGGGGAAUCCAGUAUCCAGAGCAAAGGGUCAAAACACGAGUAACAGGGCAAGGCAAGGAAAAAGACUAAACUAUGAAAACUAUAAACUAAGAUAUGACUAUGAAAACUAGAAACUGAAGUAAGACUAAGAAAACAAUAAACUGAAACAAGACUUGUGAAAACUAUAAACU